This is a long non-coding RNA of Esox lucius (northern pike), 1750 nucleotides long. NCBI's taxonomy places the organism in Eukaryota, Metazoa, Chordata, Actinopteri, Esociformes, Esocidae. The record is from Ensembl.
AUUUUCUCUUUCAUUUUUCUCUCUCUCUCUCAUCUCUCCCUCUCUUUCUCAUCCCCCCCUUCUGUAUUGGCAUAAAUGGAUGGUUGCCUGUGUUGCCAUAGCAAACAUGUUUUGGCAGCAAUAAUGAUCCAGUAAACAAAAAGAAAGAAAAACGGCUAGCAUGAGAAUCGCAAACGGCAGAGAAAACAAAUGAUCAGCACAUCAGACAUGUAUACAUUGUCUCUCUAUUCCAGUGACUGGCCAGGAUGUGUUCAGCCAGAAGGUCUACUGCCUCGGUGGUUUCUCCUGACAAAGUCCACAAUUUCUCUUCAACAGGGUUCAAGAAAUGAAUGCUGAUGAUAAUAUUCUGGACGCAGUGUGUUCGUCCUUCUGUCUCACCCCAUUCUCUCUCUCUCUCCCUUUCUUUAUCUCAAUCCUUCUCUCACCCCAUUCUCUCUCUCAAUCCUUCUGUCUCACCCCAUUCUCUCUCUCUCUCUGAGCCCCAUCCUUUCUUUCUUCUUAGGCAGUGACAGAAUGGAUAAGACACAGUGCAACAGGACAGCUGCUGGAUUGGGCGUUCUCUGGAGAAAAAACCCUGGCUGACACCUUGACAAUAAGAAAGUGUAAUUUAUAAUGUCACUGUAAUUUGGUUUGUUCUAUCUAUUUGCUUAUAUAAAUCAUUGGACAUACAGGUGAAAUGUUUGUAAUAGCGUUACAUUAAGGUUUAUGAUGUCCCACAAUUACAUCAUUUGUCGAAUCACUGCAUUCACUGAACCCUGAAAUAACAGAAUUCUGACCCAUUUGGUGAAUUUAUGUUUUGAGAAGACAGGUUAGGUGGCAGUCCAUCCGUGCAAACCUUCCACAGUCCACAGAGUUGGGCAAAUAAGAAAAAUAAAAUGGAUUUCCUGAUUUAUUGGUAGAUGAUUUCAUGUCAUCGCGUUGGAUACAACUCGAAUGGGGCCCAAAUUCCUGCAAACAUAGUGCACCGCUUCACCAUAGAUCCAGGUCAAAAGUAGUGCACUCUAUAGGGAAUUUGAGGGUGCCAUUUGGGACUACACCAGAAUGACUACACCCCCCCCCCCCCCCGCCUCUGGUUCUGUAACGGUGGGCUUGAGGAUAUCUGAGGCAUGGAAGGAGAAGGGACUCGGAGAUUCCAGCCUCACAUUUCUCCCUCCCUCAACCAUGUCUGCAGCCCCUCUGAUAAAUUGAGCAGGGCGUGUGAUGUGAGUGAAUUCAUCCUCAUGUGCUCAGCACUAUUUCCAGGGCAAUGUGUAACUUCUGAGGCCUGAUGGAGCUGGGUGUUGUUCAGUCUUAUCAAGAUGACUGAGGCUCGCUUGAAAUUCCAACUAGGUCGCGAUGCUUUGGGUGGUUGUCAUACGUGCGGAGGGCUUAAAUGUUUCAUCACAAUGCCAACAACAUUGUACACCGCUCAAAGGACAGGCUUUCCUGUCUGUGGCAAAGCUGCGCUCUAUCCAUCAGCUCCCACCACUAAACCCCCAUUACUGUUAAAUUGUUGGGAUGGAACCAAUACUGUCUGCAUUAUUUCUUAUAUGGGACUUAAAAAAAGUACAGGUUGCAGUAAAGAUUGUGUUCACGUAUGAUUUUUGAGAAAUCCAAUUCCUUGUUUAAAAAAUGGGAGAAAAGCUACAGUUCACACUACCAGAAUUACCAUAUACACAUAAAGCCCUACAAUAGGGCUAAAGAUCAAAAGCGCUAAUAAUUUCAUGGAGGUGACUGUAAAUAUGUGAAGUCACGUAGGACAGCGAACUAG